AACCUGUGGGAGAGGAAAACAAGUAGUUAAAGAGCUGGUCAGGUCAAGAGGGAUAUAGAGCACCCAACCCUGAGCUGGUGGGAAUCAGCGCUGAAGUUAAACAGUUGAGGAAUGUCAGCUGACACAGGAGAGAGAUCUGUGCUAUAUUUAAAACAUUUCCCUUGAAGUGAAUGUCUAAACUGCUCCUGGGACUGGGUGGGUGUGCAGGUCUGACGUGUCAGCUCUCAGUCCACCACACUGCAACUUCAUCACCCCUUUUUCUCACUCUCAAGUUAAUUUCCAAAGAGGCAUCAGUGAGGCUCCUUGAGAGGAAAAAGCUGUUUCCAUUCCCCAUGGAGCUGUUUCUUUCUGGUUCUUACUGCUCUGUCCUGCUGCCCCAGCUCUGACUGCAGGCUGCGGUGCACACUCCAUCCAUUUACAGGAGCUGCCUAAGCCUGCCCUCUUUCUGAUAAGCAGAUCCUCAGGGGAACCUGCAAAUAAACACCAACAAAAUGUGCAUGCGUUGGCUAAGGAAUCUAUUGCUCACUUGUCUCCUGGGAAGGAAACACAAAAGCAUUCAGCAGCCCAGGCCCUGAAACCGCUGGCAGAUGAAAGGGUAGCAUCUUUCAUUUGAAUAGCACUACAAGCACGUUGGUACCACGCUUCUGCUCUGAUCUUUGGUAUCUGUCUUUAAUUAAGUGAUCACCACUUGAGUCAGAAACUGUGCUGUUAAUGUAUGUUGGUUGUUACAGCCUCUCAGUGCCUUCAGCCAAUACCUGCAGGUGAGCUGUCACCUAUGUUCCCUGUUUCUGCUUAGAUUUAAUCACUACUAAAGCACUCUGACAUUUUGGAUCACAGAUGAUACAUGACAGAGAAAUUAUGAUAUUAGAGGAAUAACACAAGGUUGCAGUCAAAGUCAUCCAGUGUGACAAGCAGUAAAGACUCAUAGCAGAGCUGAGCACCUGUGCUUUGGGCUGGAUAUGACUUCUAACGGGUUUAUGGGAACUGUUAGAUCAGGGUCUGAACCAGUGAUUGAGCACCUGGUGAAGGGGUGUAGCCAGCCCUGGGAGCACAGGUGGAAGCAGUUGAUCUGUGUUGACUGGAAGGGCUGGAUUCUGGGUACAGUGCUCCCUAAUCUCAUUUAAGGGCUGGCAGCCACAAAGGAAGCACCUUUACUUGGGGAUCGCCUUCCUGGUAGUGUUUGGUGAGCCCUGAUCCUUGGAAAGGGCCUGCAGAUGACCUCUGGGACGUGCUUUGGAAAGUUCCUGAAGCUUCUGCACGUAUCUGGAGUUCUGCCAAACAGCUACAGAAAUGCAGCAGGAUCUGUUCCCAAGCACUUCCAGCCCAGGUCUAGCAAUCUGCCUUUGCCAUCACUUUGUUAGCAUGGAUUCAGAAGCUCUUUCAUCAAGUGAUCGCCUACCAGACAGAAAUGAAGAUGGAUCCUGGCUGGAGAGCAAGUGUCUGUCACAUAGAAAGGGAGUCUCAUUCCAAUGGAAGCACUCGUGAAGUAUUACUCAAGGUCUUAAUUAUAUCAGAAACUUUAAUCUGGCACUGCUACUUUCCUCCCUGUUGGAUAAUAAGUCAUACUGGUAGAGUGUCAUAGUAUUGGUACUGGUAGAGUAGGAGCAGAGAUGUAUAAGGCUAUAAUUAAGUUAAGGGUAUAAUUCUGGGGUGUGACAAGGCAAGGGAUCUUACGGAUUCUCAUGGGCAGGAUGCAAUAGCCUUUCCUUAGAUAAAGUUUAAGGUAAGGAGUAUCAGCCAUUUGCUGUCAACGUUGUGUCACAUCUCUUGGACAUGCAGAAGUGGAAAGUCGUUAAACACUGAUUGCUCCCAUUCAAGUGGAAGCACAUUCGGACAAUGGGAUGCCUGGACCUAGGGAAGCAGCUCAGCCAAAUGUGUCUGCAGGGACAGCUCUUAGAACAAUGUAAUUUCCCUACAAGAACAAAGAGAUCAGAUGGUCUCACUGGCUCUGAAAAGCACAAAAACUCACAGCAGCUUCAGGGGAACUCACAAGGAAAUCCAGGCCAACUCCUCUGCAACAUGGAUCUAGAAAACACACUGCCUUCUAGCCAAUUCAACUGUGCCAGCCAACUCUUGUAGAUGUAUUCACAGUGAUCUAAAAGAUCUGCCCCAGUGUAUGGUAACUGCUGAAUCACAGCCUGAACCAUUGAUUGAGCACCUGGGGAAAGGACCCAGUCAGUCCUGGGAGCACAGGUGAAGGCAGUUUAUCUGUGGGACCAGAAGGAGUGAAGCCUGGCUGCACCUCUCUUAGACCCCAUUUAAGGGCUGACUGCCAGUGGGGAAGGGUUUCUUCCUUGGAGAUUCGUCAUUAGUGAAGCUUCCUCCUCUGAACUGAGAAUCUUCUGAUGCAGGAGGUUUGCAUCCAUCAGACAUUCCUGUGAGGACUAAGGAAAUCCUGUCCUACUAAAUAGAAGCUGCAGGGAACACCACAGCAAGAGAUGAAGCUCUCGUGUCUGUCAAAGGAUCCCUCACAGGUCUGUUUGAGGACUUAAAAGAGAAGCACCCACUCCAAAGGGCGAUGUCUGCUGGUUGGCCCCAGUGUCCACCUAUUGUUUGCUCUCCAACCCCAGGAAAUCUUGAGGCUGAUGCAAAGAUAUGGAAAACAUCUGUGUCAAAAACUUUCCUUCUUCUGAUGAUCAGUGAGCAGAAGUAACUACAAAGCGCUCUGUAGACCAGGUCUAUGGGUCAUAGGACCACAGAUCUUAAGCCAAGACCCAAGUCCUAGAACUCAGUAAGUGCCAUGGAGCUGCACAGGGUGCCUCACAGCCCUGCUCUCUGGGAACAAGGUGGUGAUGUGCAUUGCUUAGGUGCAGACCACCUCCUGACCAUACGCAACCGCAUGGCUUGUUGGUUGGCAGGCACCAAACCCAAAGGCAAGGAAGUUGGGUGUGUACCCACCUCCCUCAGGUGGUUUGGAUGCAACCAGUUGGGUGGGUGUGGGAAAGUGCUACUCCUGACUACUCAAACUCCUGCUCGAACAACUUUUCUUGCAUUUGCCUAUCAGCUAUAAAAAGAAAAUAAGGUUAAAAAAUCAACAUAGCUUUUCCCAUUGGCUUGCACAAAAACAACCAACCAACCAAUAUCCAGAUUUUGUGAGGUAGCUGCCUAUACAACUAGGGGUAACAUAACUAUGUGUCAAGCUAGAAUCUGACAGCAGAUACUGGCAGCAAGAUGAACAGCCAUAAAUAACAACGGGAGAAACACAGAUAGCUUUCUAUAGCAGAUCAUAAUCAGCACGUAAUCAGCAUAGAAAGCCAUUACACUCAGGGGACUACUUAAAUUAUGAAAAAGACAUUUAAAUGUCUCUAUCUGAUACCUUGUCUGUGCUUAUCACUGAUUUCAGUUUUGAACUCUCAGAGAGGUCCCAGUGAGAACUUCCUAAAUCAUUUACUGACAUUAAAAAAAAAGCAGUUAAAAAGCAACACAGUUAAACUGGCUCCUGCCUGCUGCCCUGAGGUUUCUGCUGUUACUGGUCAAACUGAGCUCAGAUGCUGAUGAUGUAUUUGUUGAUGCUAAGAAAAUUUAGAAGAGCAGAUAUCACCGAGCUGGCAUCCCAUCUCUCCCUGACUGCUGUUGUUGAAGGCACUUUGAUGCUGACAGGCAUCGGCCACCUGCAAGUGCCACUCUGGAUGUAGCACACAAGUGCCAAAUGAGGCAGGUGUGCACAGAGUGAGAGCAACUCCGUGGUUUGCAUCUAUAAGGUGAGCUUCAGUAAGAAAGGGUCGGGGAAUGCAGUCAUAACAGUAAGAGCUCUCUCAGGUGAGAGACAUCUCUUAGCUGCUCUGCAAAGCUCAGUGCAUGUAGCCCAGUCACACCAGCCAAGCUAUAAAACAUAGUUACAGAGACUUACUGACAGUCAAAAAAGUGUGUUUGCUGAAAAGUGCUCACCUGGCAGCUGCUGCUGGCUUCCAGUACCUGCAGAAGAGGUGCUGCCCAUCAGCGUUGAUGAUGUGGGGCAGAUCCUUGUAUGGGAUGUUUUGAGGACUCCGCUUUGGUGAACUUUCCUCGGGCAUUCUGGAUGAAUGACCUGCAAAGUGAUGGAAGAAACUUGAGGACAGGUGAAGGCAAGGCAAAGCCACAGACUUUAAGGAAGUUGGUCAGCAAGGCAAGCACUGCUGAUGGAAGUGUCCUUCCAAACCUCUGUCCAGCAGGGCCCCCAAAUCUUUCCUCCUUUAAAAGCCAUAGCGGGGAAGGCACUGGAGGGAGAAGAAGGGAAGAUCCAUCCACCAUCACUACUUCAUCCCAGCUUUCUCUCCCCGUCUUCUCCCAUCUGUGUUUACUUUGCAUCAUUUUGCGAAAGCGGAUCUUAAAAGGAAUAUUUGAGCUGCAAUCAAGUGCAGAUUGUGCAGCAGCCACCACAGAUAGGAAAAGACA
Non-coding RNA from Coturnix japonica (Japanese quail), 4374 nucleotides. The record is from RefSeq and is a predicted model, not a curated record. Lineage: Eukaryota; Metazoa; Chordata; Aves; Galliformes; Phasianidae.